AUUGAACGCUGGCGGCAGGCCUAACACAUGCAAGUCGAGCGGAUGAGUGGAGCUUGCUCCAUGAUUCAGCGGCGGACGGGUGAGUAAUGCCUAGGAAUCUGCCUGGUAGUGGGGGACAACGUUUCGAAAGGAACGCUAAUACCGCAUACGUCCUACGGGAGAAAGUGGGGGAUCUUCGGACCUCACGCUAUCAGAUGAGCCUAGGUCGGAUUAGCUAGUUGGUGAGGUAAAGGCUCACCAAGGCGACGAUCCGUAACUGGUCUGAGAGGAUGAUCAGUCACACUGGAACUGAGACACGGUCCAGACUCCUACGGGAGGCAGCAGUGGGGAAUAUUGGACAAUGGGCGAAAGCCUGAUCCAGCCAUGCCGCGUGUGUGAAGAAGGUCUUCGGAUUGUAAAGCACUUUAAGUUGGGAGGAAGGGCAGUAAGUUAAUACCUUGCUGUUUUGACGUUACCAACAGAAUAAGCACCGGCUAACUUCGUGCCAGCAGCCGCGGUAAUACGAAGGGUGCAAGCGUUAAUCGGAAUUACUGGGCGUAAAGCGCGCGUAGGUGGUUCGUUAAGUUGGAUGUGAAAGCCCCGGGCUCAACCUGGGAACUGCAUCCAAAACUGGCGAGCUAGAGUAUGGUAGAGGGUGGUGGAAUUUCCUGUGUAGCGGUGAAAUGCGUAGAUAUAGGAAGGAACACCAGUGGCGAAGGCGACCACCUGGGCUAAUACUGACACUGANGUGCGAAAGCGUGGGGAGCAAACAGGAUUAGAUACCCUGGUAGUCCACGCCGUAAAC
Molecule: ribosomal RNA, 784 nt
Filed under: uncultured bacterium
Lineage: Bacteria
Description: bacterial SSU rRNA
Rfam family: Bacterial small subunit ribosomal RNA
Source: RNAcentral